CCUACGGGUGGCAGCAGUGAGGAAUAUUGGUCAAUGGCCGGAAGGCUGAACCAGCCAAGUAGCGUGAGGGAAUAAGGCCCUAUGGGUCGUAAACCUCUUUUGUCAGGGAGCAAAGGCGUCCACGUGUGGACGAGAGGAGAGAACCUGAAGAAAAAGCAUCGGCUAACUCCGUGCCAGCAGCGGCGGUAAUACGGAGGAUGCGAGCGUUACCCGGAUUUGUGGGGUUUAAGGGGUGCGUAGGCGGAGUGUCAAGUCAGCGGUAAAAUUUCGGGGCUAAACCCCGUCGUGCCGUUGAAACUGGCGCCCUUGAGUAAAGUAGAAGUAAGCGGAAUGCGUGGUGUAGCGGUGAAAUGCAUAGAUAUCACGCAGAACGCCGAUUGCGAAGGCAGCUUACCGGCGCUCAACUGACGCUGAGGCACGAAAGUGCGGGUAUCGAACAGGAUUAGAUACCCCAGUAGUC
RNAcentral lists this ribosomal RNA (460 nucleotides) under uncultured bacterium. RNAcentral's name for it is "partial 16S ribosomal RNA". It matches the Rfam family "Bacterial small subunit ribosomal RNA", at positions 338 to 795 of the family's 1533-position model. The record is from RNAcentral.